GUAGGAGUGAGCCUGCUCGCGAUGGCGCCAGACCAGUCACAUUGCCGUCGCCUGAUACGGCGCAAUCGCGAGCAGGCUCACUCCUAC
RNAcentral lists this unclassified non-coding RNA (87 nucleotides) under Pseudomonas granadensis. The record is from RNAcentral. Lineage: Bacteria; Pseudomonadati; Pseudomonadota; Gammaproteobacteria; Pseudomonadales; Pseudomonadaceae.